AGAGUUUGAUCCUGGCUCAGGAUGAACGCUGGCGGCGUGCCUAAUACAUGCAAGUAGAACGCUGAAGGAAGGAGCUUGCUCUUUCCGGAUGAGUUGCGAACGGGUGAGUAACGCGUAGGUAACCUGCCUGGUAGCGGGGGAUAACUAUUGGAAACGAUAGCUAAUACCGCAUAACAACAGUUGUUGCAUGACAGCUGUUUAAAAGGUGCAAAUGCACCACUACCAGAUGGACCUGCGUUGUAUUAGCUAGUUGGUGAGGUAACGGCUCACCAAGGCGACGAUACAUAGCCGACCUGAGAGGGUGAUCGGCCACACUGGGACUGAGACACGGCCCAGACUCCUACGGGAGGCAGCAGUAGGGAAUCUUCGGCAAUGGACGGAAGUCUGACCGAGCAACGCCGCGUGAGUGAAGAAGGUUUUCGGAUCGUAAAGCUCUGUUGUAAGAGAAGAACGAGUGUGAGAGUGGAAAGUUCACACUGUGACGGUAUCUUACCAGAAAGGGACGGCUAACUACGUGCCAGCAGCCGCGGU
This 531-nucleotide ribosomal RNA is filed under the name unidentified oral bacterium AP60-11. RNAcentral's name for it is "bacterial SSU rRNA". It matches the Rfam family "Bacterial small subunit ribosomal RNA", at positions 8 to 521 of the family's 1533-position model. The record is from RNAcentral.